This 255-nucleotide ribosomal RNA is filed under the name uncultured bacterium. Its description in RNAcentral is "partial 16S ribosomal RNA". It matches the Rfam family "Bacterial small subunit ribosomal RNA", at positions 99 to 354 of the family's 1533-position model. The record is from RNAcentral.
CGGACGGGUGAGUAACGCGUGGGUAACCUGCCCUGUACAGGGGGAUAACAGUUGGAAACGGCUGCUAAAACCGCAUAACAUGGAGAUACCGCAUGAUAUUUCCAUCAAAUAUUUAUAGGUACAGGAUGGGCCCGCGUCUGAUUAGCCAGUUGGCAGGGUAAUGGCCUACCAAAGCGACGAUCAGUAGCCGGCUUGAGAGAGUGACCGGCCACAUUGGGACUGAGACACGGCCCAAACUCCUACGGGAGGCAGCAG